GGAUGGAUCACCUCCUUUCUAAGGAAACCAAUAAAAUCAAUCAUCUUCAGUUUUGAAAGACUUAGGAUAACUAAGUUUUUCUUCGUGACUUCACGAAGGGCCUAUAGCUCAGUUGGUUAGAGCACACGCCUGAUAAGCGUGAGGUCGGUGGUUCAAGUCCAUUUAGGCCCACCAGAGUUAUAGGUGUCGUAAGAACACAAAUUCUUUGAAAAUUAGGUAAAUAAUAGUUAUUUUUCCGGAACAUUAAAGGAAAUAAGAGCGCACAGUGGAUGCCUAGGCACCAAGAGCUGAUGAAGGACGCAAUUAACGGCGAUACGCUACGGGAAGCUGUAAAUAAGUGUAGAUCCGUGGAUUUCCGAAUGGGGCAACCUACUAUAAGUAGUUAUAGUAUCAAUUUAUUAGGCAACUAAUCGAUUGAAAGGAACGCAGUGAACUGAAAUAUCUAAGUAACUGUAGGAAAAGAAAGUAAUAACGAUUCCGGUAGUAGUGACGAGCGAACCCGGAACAGCCGGAUACCAAUUCCUAGUUAUCAAAUUUUAAUGAACUCGAAAUAGUUGGAAAACUAUAUCCUAGAAGGUGAAAAUCCUGUAGAGGUAGAUUAAAAUCUAGGGUAUCCUUAAGUACGGCGAGACACGAGAAAUCUUGUUGGAAGAUAGGAGGACCAUCUCCUAAGGCUAAAUACUCCUUGGUGACCGAUAGUGAACUAGUACCGUGAGGGAAAGGCGAA
RNAcentral lists this small RNA (727 nucleotides) under 'Crotalaria saltiana' phyllody phytoplasma. Its description in RNAcentral is "bacterial LSU rRNA". The stretch from base 243 to 727 matches the Rfam family "Bacterial large subunit ribosomal RNA", at positions 1 to 518 of the family's 2925-position model. The record is from RNAcentral. Lineage: Bacteria; Bacillati; Mycoplasmatota; Mollicutes; Acholeplasmatales; Acholeplasmataceae.